RNAcentral lists this ribosomal RNA (274 nucleotides) under uncultured bacterium. Its description in RNAcentral is "partial 16S ribosomal RNA". It matches the Rfam family "Archaeal small subunit ribosomal RNA", at positions 473 to 747 of the family's 1478-position model. The record is from RNAcentral.
AAACCAGCACCUCAAGUGGUCAGGAGGAUUAUUGGGCCUAAAGCAUCCGUAGCCUGUUCUAUAAGUUUCCGGUUAAAUCCACUAGCUCAACUAGUGGGCUGCCGAAAAUACUGUAGAACUAGGGAGUGGGAGAGGUAGACGGUAUUCGGUAGGAAGGGGUAAAAUCCUUUGAUCUAUUGAGGACCACCUGUGGCGAAGGCGGUCUACCAGAACACGUUCGACGGUGAGGGAUGAAAGCUGGGGGAGCAAGCCGGAUUAGAUACCCGAGUAGUCC